This 190-nucleotide ribosomal RNA is filed under the name uncultured bacterium. RNAcentral describes it as "partial 16S ribosomal RNA". It matches the Rfam family "Bacterial small subunit ribosomal RNA", at positions 338 to 521 of the family's 1533-position model. The record is from RNAcentral.
CCUACGGGGGGCAGCAGUCGCGAAAACUCCGCAAUGCGCGCAAGCGUGACGGAGCGACGCCGCGUGGGUGAUGAAGGCCUUCGGGUUGUAAAGCCCUGUCAGCUGCCAAGAAUGGCGGGUCGUGAAUAGCGAUCCCGUUUGACUAAGCAGCAGAGGAAGCACCGGCUAAAUACGUGCCAGCAGCCGCGGU